This 1999-nucleotide long non-coding RNA is filed under the name Triticum aestivum (bread wheat). RNAcentral's name for it is "long non-coding RNA (TAES_LNC026111)". The record is from RNAcentral. Lineage: Eukaryota; Viridiplantae; Streptophyta; Magnoliopsida; Poales; Poaceae.
UGUGUUUGUAGCUAGGUUGCCUCUCUUGGGUGAUAUGAUUUUUUUUGCGGUUUCUCAUAAACUGCAGUGUGUUAUGCAGAUGGAAAAAGCAUUCAGGUUCUGCAUCCUGCCCAGCAGGUUAUUUGUUAUGACACAAGAACUUUAUUAUGGUUUUUGAUAAAAGAAAUAUGGACUUCGAAAUAGCUUGAAGGUUAUCGAUUAUAUGUAGCAAGGCCAUUUGAUUAAGUUGGCUCUUUCUUGACACCAUUUUCUAUGCAACUAUUUGAAUACAUAUUUUCCAAAACAAAGUACAUAAGUGUGUUUGGGUGUGGCCCAGAUUAAACAUCUCACAUUUUGUUUCAGAAAUCAUCUCUACUUAAGUCCAAGAGGUCACCAGGUGAAGGGAUGGAUAAACUAUUAGGUUGCAUUAAUUUGGAGCUAUGAAACUGGUAAAAGGAUUAUAGUUGCUGCAACUCCUAGGGUCAAGGUUUGUUCCACAUUUCUAUAAUUUUAUUUAUAUUUGUACUAAUUUAUCACAUAUCAUGCAUCUUUUCUCCUUUAGACUAAUUAUUACAGUAGAAUAUAUUGGCCAAUAGACUGCCAUUCUCACCUUUGGUAUUGCAUCUUUUUUCUUGACAGCCUGUUACAUUGGAACUUGGUGAAGAUGUCGUAUUUGAGUAUGUUGACAUUGACAAAAGGUACAUGCUGAAUGCUGAGACAUAUAUACGUUGUGUGAGGCAGAGGUUAAAUGCUCUGUAAAUAAAGAGAGACAACAAGGAUUGGUGAGUUUAUGAUCCCACUUUCGUACUGUUUUUAUACAAAAACAACAAUGAGCGGCAUAUGUACUUCUCAUCCAAUUAGUUUUCUAGCACGUAAAUGUAACUAUUUCUUCAUGCACAUGAGAAAGACAAAUAUUAGUUCCUACAUGUUUGAGGAUAUGUAUAACCAUACUAUGGAAUGCAGUUGUGCCGAGGAGGAACGAGGAUGAGAGAUGUGUCUUGCUAGACAUAUUAGCAAAUUCUUAAUUCAUUUGAUUACAUUCAUGAGUAUUAUUCUAUUCCAACAUACGGGCUUUGUUCAGUGCAUAUACAGAUAUACUAUCUUAUAGAAAUAUGUUGUUCAAGGAUGAAGAGGUGGAUAAGUUUGUGGCUUUACUUACUGAAUGUCCAGAUCUGUCUUGCUUCUCAGUCAAGGCCUACAUUUAGAGUAUACAUAUUCAUAUGUAAGUGAUUUAAGGUCAAUUACCUCCCCCUGUUGUAAUGCUCAUCAUCUUAAUUCAGACAUUGUUAUAUAUAUGCACCAUGGUUCACGACUAUACUUUUUUCCGUAGGGCCUAUGCAAAUCCAUUUGGAACAGUGUUACUAUUUUACAUUUUGCUACAAAAAGUUGUGUGCUGCAGGUGUCUAUACACGGGAACCAAAGAAGGCAACUCGGCAGUUUCUCCCUGCCCUAAUCAAGAUUCACAAUGAUAGGAGGGCACAGAGAUCAUGCUGCCAUGGAAUCCAUCCAUUUUCAUUGCCUUGCUGCUUUCUAGCUUGUUUCUUGAUAUUCAAUAGCCAUAUACCUUUAGGACUUGGGAUGCGAUUUCACAUGCAUCGCGUAGCUGAUGCUUUUGCCGGUUCAUGAUGAGCUAUUUUUGUGUAAAGCUGCUAUUGGCCGUGGAAAGACUAGCUAUGCAUGGCUCAGUUUUAUUGAGCUUAGAUGAAAAUUUGAGUGAACCGACUAAAUUCAUACAAAAAAGGGGCCAAGUACAACCCCAAAUUAGAGACUAGAUGGGAUGCCCAUCCUGGUCACUAUACUAUUAGACUUACAAUCUCGAACGGCUACCUGUAUUUUUUAAUUUGUUUGUGGACCUGGAAUGGCCAUUAUUUGGGCAUAGGACAUGCCAGCAUGUUUUCUGAAAGUUGUAGGAGAGGCAUGCUAUUUAAAAUGGAUAGAUUGCAAAAAAAAUUGUACCUCCAUUGGUCAGGACCUGACCAUGGAAGAAUGAACAGUAAAUGUUGUCAAAUGAACUACAUUG